CAGAAUUCCUGUGACCUCAUGGUACAACAGGGUGACGUCCACCGAGAUGUGAGCAGAAGGAGUAGAACUCUUCAAAGAAAAUCCACCCUGUUGAGUUUGAAUAGAAUUACAUUGCGUUUCAACUGAUUUAAUGAAAUGACAUGCAUUACACGGAAGGUAUCUGACACCACCCGUAACUACUCAAGUGCCAGCUGUCUUCCACAGUGCUUUAAUUUCUAGGAAGCAUAUUUCCUCGUCUUCCUCAUACCUAGUUAAGAUCACUGUGACAGGAGCCGCCCACCGGGUCCAAAUCUACCCUCUUCUAAGUCAGCUCAUCCGUUUCCAGGUAUCUAUUGAUUCCAUAUCUGCUGCUUAACAUCUCUAACACCCUCCACCAUAGAAACGUAAUAGGCAAUAAGCUCCGUCACCACCAUUCAUCCCCGGGACCCGACAGCCUACGUGUCGCCACAUUAGCCCUCUGCGGUAUAGAUAUGAGAACUUCCCGAUGUGAGACACUGACUGUAAUAAAGCCCAAAUUGGACUUUGGAAAAUAGAAUUGGCUCCUCAGCUGCUUGUCAUACCCAGGG
Oncorhynchus tshawytscha (Chinook salmon) is the source of this 566-nucleotide long non-coding RNA. The record is from Ensembl. NCBI's taxonomy places the organism in Eukaryota, Metazoa, Chordata, Actinopteri, Salmoniformes, Salmonidae.